GCAGCAGCAGCAGCCAGGACCAACAGAUCACAGAGAGACAACAGAAAGACGAGAGUAAAACACAUGUGGACAUGCUCUGAUUAUUUAACAAGAAGAGCCAAAGGGAAGUUCAAAACGUCAGUGGUGUUUCUAAUUAGGAAAGUGAGUCGUUGGUGGAACCUGUACACCCAGUCCUGGAAUAAGGAGUUUAGAAGUUUAAUCAUGAAUGUGGCCAGCAGGAGUACAUGGACACCAUGCUGCCCCACCAGAGCAUGGCACAAAGGAAACAGUCUGUCAGAAUAAUAUAGACGUCAGACAAAAGUGAUUUCAUCAAACCCAAGAAAACAGUAUAAAAAUUAAAAAAUUUUUUUUUUUUUUUUUUAAACAUGUCGGAAUAAGAAAAACGCUCGCGCAGCUCUUGCCUCUGCACCUACGAGCUCUCAACAAAUGUAAAAAUCCACCUCUUUAUGAUUCUUGUCUUGUUUCACAAUGAGAAUUUCAACUUUGCUACAGUUGGUUUUAACACAGACAACACGAAUGUUUUUGUUGAAUGUGCCACUGCGGAUAAAUCAGCGCGGAGUUUGAUCCUGCCUCGAAAAUCUGCUGCUUUUCUGUUGUGCAUGUGUCGUUAUCUGGUUUUUUUGUUGUUGUUUUUUUGUUUUUUUAAAAAAAAAAAAAAAUCAGACGUCUAAUGACAUUCCUCCAACAUGAUGGCUCAUCAAUAAUUAAAUGUUGACCUCCCCACACAUUUGGCCGCAUCAAUUAUUCAUCUGUAAUUGAAUUUGUGAUUUAAGUUUUCGUUUCAGCCUAAUUUGGAUGAUUCAGUUGAACAGUACAUCGCGUCUGUGCGGAGAUGACAGUGUGAGGUUUUCUUUUUUUUUUAAGCUUUGUUGGUAUAACGAGAGGCCCCAGUGACUCCUUUACUUAACAGCAGGGAGAUCAAAUUUAUAGUUUUUGUUGGUGCCAUAGUUUUGAUGUUGAUUGACAUGGAAGUUAGCUAAGACUCUUUAAUUAAAAACUGAUUCUGUUAAUUAGACUAUGGCAAAAAUACAAAUAAAGUACAGUAGUUUAACUAGAAGCUUCUUUCUCAGCAAGUCAACUUGAUUCUACAACUUUCACCUGGCUGUUAACAGACAGGCCUCUAGGCCAUUCUUUGCACUGAAGUGAGAGAUGUUGUCCUAUAAUGCGCUCUUAUUAUCAACAUUACAUUUUCUUUCUACACCAAUUUCAUUAAUUUGAAAAAAGUGACCAUGUAAAAAUCUAUUAGUAUUAAAUGUUUUGUUUUUUGUUUUUUUGUGGUGCAAAUUUUGAUUAUUUGAUUUUUUUUUUAAACUGUUGAUGUUUUCAUUUCAAAUUGAACAAAGGUCAUUAUGAACAUGAAACAAACGAGAAGUUGCAAGUUAACAACGUUGGCAAGUUGAGCAGUCAGCUGUAAUAAAGAUGAAAUAAUAACAACAACAAUAAUAAUAAUAAUAAUUAUUAUUAUUAUUAUAAUAAUUAUAAGCUACUGCAGCCGGAGAAAGGCUGAAUGAAAUCAAAAGGAAAAUAAACUUUCACACAAAAAUAACAACAGCAAAAUCAUCAAAAGCACCGAUAAUAAUAUAAUAUACAAAAUCAAACAACAACAAUAAUAAUAACUAUAGCCUCAUAAUGAUAAUAAGAAUGAAAAUAAUAAUAAAAGCUAAAAAAAAAAAAAAAAAAAUCUAAUUUAGAAUUCUACAGGGUCUAAUGAUUAAUUGAUUGAAGGACAUAUCUGCCUCAAGCGGCUGUAGAAUUUUCACAAUUUAUACCAUGACCUUCUUUAGUGCUUUUUCGUUUUGUUUGAAUAUUAAUCCUGGUGUCUUUUUACAGAUGCUGCUGACUGGGAGGCUCACACAUGCCCGUCGGCCUGUUUGGAGAAUGACCAGUUGAUUGGAAAAACACCAAAAACUGCCUCUAAACCCCAAAUAAUCCCACGACACGAUUUGUUUCUUAACCCUUAAUUAAUGUACAAAUAAGAGUCGGUAGAGAGAGAAAGAGAGAGAGAGAGGGAGGGAGAGAGAGAGGGAGAGAGACAGAGAGAGAGACCGCAGCGUGGACUCAGCAGCUACCAGCUCCAGCCGGAGAGCUGCAGGAGGCCACACACAGUCUCCACAAGUCACAGUUAGCAAACGUGACCUGAUGUGAGGUCACCUAAACUGCAGCACACACUGGCUGUCAUUGUGUCUCCAUGUCUCCACCCAUUCUGUGAGCGGGGACGGCCUCAGCAGCGAGUGGAUUUGUUCUGGGCUGGGCAGGGGCUUCCUGUGAACGGGAGGGAAACAUGGGCGCUGGCCAUCACCUCGACCGAAUCCAGAACCAAAAUGAGGGAGGGAGACUCACAGAGACAGACAGACAGACAGACAGAUAGAGGCAGACAGAAACUGAAACAAUGAGUGAGUGAGAAUGCAAUAAAGAAUUAUGAUUAUAUAUUGAUAAUCAGGACAAACCAAGAAACAUGACAGCCAUAUAAACCACGGCAACGCCAUUUUAGAAUGGAAAAAAAGAAAAAGGAAAAUGAAUAUUCAUGACCCUGUCCCUCCCAUCCAAAUUCAGCACCCUCCCUCCCUCCCUUCCCACCCAAAUCCUCCCUCCUCCUCACUUCCUCUCCCCUCCAUUGGGUGGCAACACUUGGUAGGGCACAUGGUGAGACAGCUGUUGCAGGGCAACAUGGGCAUCUGUGGUGCUACGUAGAGGAGAGGAGAUAGUGCGGGGGGUGUAGGGAGUGUUUCUAGGAGGUGCAGACGGCAUCAAGAGAUGGAAAUAGUAUCCUGCCUCUGCCCCGUGUACAUAUGUGCUUGUUUUUGAGGGCGUCCGAAAGUUUCAGGGAUUAUUAAUGGAUCCAUGGGGAAAGGUGGAGAGGUAUUUUAGGGACAGACAAGAGAGGAAAAGAGAGUAUGGGGAAAGAAAAAGAGGAAGCAUCGCUUCUUCUUAUUCUAUGUAAAGCUGUGAAUGAAAAGUAGCACCUGUCCUCCAAGCUAUGACAGAAAUGACACUAGCAUAAGACCUCUAGGAUGGACCUCUCCAAGACUGGAGUUGGUGUCUUCAACAACCUUAGACACACACACACGCAUGCACGCACGCACGCACGCACACAG
Long non-coding RNA from Seriola aureovittata, 3095 nucleotides. RefSeq lists it as uncharacterized. The transcript is spliced from 3 exons. NCBI's taxonomy places the organism in Eukaryota, Metazoa, Chordata, Actinopteri, Carangiformes, Carangidae. The record is from RefSeq and is a predicted model, not a curated record.